UUUAAAUUGAGAGUUUGAUCCUGGCUCAGGAUGAACGCUGGCGGCGUGCUUAACACAUGCAAGUCGAGCGAUGAAA
RNAcentral lists this ribosomal RNA (76 nucleotides) under Clostridium perfringens. Its description in RNAcentral is "partial 16S ribosomal RNA". It matches the Rfam family "Bacterial small subunit ribosomal RNA", at positions 1 to 74 of the family's 1533-position model. The record is from RNAcentral. Lineage: Bacteria; Bacillati; Bacillota; Clostridia; Eubacteriales; Clostridiaceae.